Molecule: ribosomal RNA, 200 nt
Filed under: uncultured bacterium
Lineage: Bacteria
Description: partial 16S ribosomal RNA
Rfam family: Bacterial small subunit ribosomal RNA
Source: RNAcentral
AGAGUUUGAUCCUGGCUCAGGAUGAACGCUGGCGGCGUGCCUAAUACAUGCAAGUCGAGCGAACCCUUCGGGGUUAGCGGCGGACGGGUGAGUAACACGUGGGUAACCUGCCUGUAAGACUGGGAUAACUUCGGGAAACCGUAGCUAAUACCGGAUAAUUUUCUAGUUCGCAUGAACGAGAAUGGAAAGAUGGCUUUUGC